RNAcentral lists this ribosomal RNA (262 nucleotides) under uncultured Lachnospiraceae bacterium. Its description in RNAcentral is "partial 16S ribosomal RNA". It matches the Rfam family "Bacterial small subunit ribosomal RNA", at positions 75 to 339 of the family's 1533-position model. Lineage: Bacteria; Bacillati; Bacillota; Clostridia; Lachnospirales; Lachnospiraceae. The record is from RNAcentral.
UGAAGUUUUUGUGACUGAGUGGCGGACGGGUGAGUAACGCGUGGGUAACCUGCCUCAUACAGGGGGAUAACAGUUGGAAACGACUGCUAAUACCGCAUAAGCGCACAGUGCCGCAUGGCACGGUGUGAAAAGAUUCAUCGGUGUGAGAUGGACCCGCGUCUGAUUAGCCAGUUGGCAGGGUAACGGCCUACCAAAGCGACGAUCAGUAGCCGGCUUGAGAGAGUGACCGGCCACAUUGGGACUGAGACACGGCCCAGACUCC